AAUGAAGAGCCUGGGGAAAGGAUUAUUUUGAUAGAAUAAAAUACGUAAUUUAAAGUUACCUUCAUUA
RNAcentral lists this transfer RNA (67 nucleotides) under Inflata indica. RNAcentral describes it as "tRNA-Ile". The record is from RNAcentral. Lineage: Eukaryota; Metazoa; Arthropoda; Insecta; Coleoptera; Lampyridae.